This 253-nucleotide ribosomal RNA is filed under the name uncultured bacterium. RNAcentral describes it as "partial 16S ribosomal RNA". It matches the Rfam family "Bacterial small subunit ribosomal RNA", at positions 524 to 776 of the family's 1533-position model. The record is from RNAcentral.
UACAGAGGUCCCAAGCGUUGUUCGGAUUCACUGGGCGUAAAGGGUGCGUAGGUGGCCGGGUAAGUCUGACGUGAAAUCUCCGAGCCUAACUCGGAAACUGCAUCGGAUACUAUCCGGCUCGAGGGUUGGAGGGGGGACUGGAAUACUUGGUGUAGCAGUGAAAUGCGUAGAUAUCAAGUGGAACACCAGUGGCGAAGGCGAGUCCCUGGACAACUCCUGACACUGAGGCACGAAAGCUAGGGGAGCAAACGGG